UCCGUUUCUACAAAAAACAAGAAGAAAACUUCUACAAAAAUAAUUCAAAUUUACGAAAUUAUUUUUGUAGAAGUUUUUUUUUUUUUUUCACAUUUUUUGAA
This 101-nucleotide microRNA precursor is filed under the name Brugia malayi. RNAcentral describes it as "microRNA bma-mir-9532 precursor". Lineage: Eukaryota; Metazoa; Nematoda; Chromadorea; Rhabditida; Onchocercidae. The record is from miRBase by way of RNAcentral.